Molecule: ribosomal RNA, 350 nt
Filed under: uncultured Fusibacter sp.
Lineage: Bacteria; Bacillati; Bacillota; Clostridia; Eubacteriales; Fusibacteraceae
Description: bacterial SSU rRNA
Rfam family: Bacterial small subunit ribosomal RNA
Source: RNAcentral
ACAGGUGGUGCAUGGUUGUCGUCAGCUCGUGUCGUGAGAUGUUGGGUUAAGUCCCGCAACGAGCGCAACCCUUGUGUUUAGUUGCAAACAGGUCAAGCUGUGCACUCUAGACAGACUGCCGUGGACAACACGGAGGAAGGUGGGGAUGACGUCAAAUCAUCAUGCCCCUUAUGAUCUGGGCUACACACGUGCUACAAUGGCCGGUACAACGGGCAGCGAAGGAGCGAUCCGGAGCGAAUACCUAAAAAGCCGGUCCCAGUUCGGAUUGCAGGCUGAAACUCGCCUACAUGAAGUUGGAGUUGCUAGUAAUCGCGAAUCAGAAUGUCGCGGUGAAUGCGUUCCCGGGUCUU